UACGUAGGGGGCAAGCGUUGUCCGGAUUUAUUGGGCGUAAAGCGCGUGUAGGCGGCCAUACAGGUCCGUUGUGAAAACUGGAGGCUUAACCUCCAGACGUCGAUGGAAACCGUAUGGCUAGAGUCCGGAAGAGGAGAGUGGAAUUCCUGGUGUAGCGGUGAAAUGCGCAGAUAUCAGGAAGAACACCCGUGGCGAAGGCGGCUCUCUGGGACGGUACUGACGCUGAGACGCGAAAGCGUGGGGAGCGAACAGG
Molecule: ribosomal RNA, 253 nt
Filed under: uncultured bacterium
Lineage: Bacteria
Description: partial 16S ribosomal RNA
Rfam family: Bacterial small subunit ribosomal RNA
Source: RNAcentral